GGGAAUAUAAUCAAUCAUAUUGUAAUAACUAUGUAUGGGUCCAGGUGGAUACUUGAAUUAUUGGGAGGACCACUUUGUAAAGUAUAUGAUUGUCUAACCACUAUGCAAUACACCUGAAACUAAUACAAAAUAAUAUUGAA
Molecule: long non-coding RNA, 140 nt
Organism: Phyllostomus discolor (pale spear-nosed bat)
Lineage: Eukaryota; Metazoa; Chordata; Mammalia; Chiroptera; Phyllostomidae
Exons: 2
Source: RefSeq, a predicted model, not a curated record